RNAcentral lists this ribosomal RNA (253 nucleotides) under uncultured bacterium. Its description in RNAcentral is "partial 16S ribosomal RNA". It matches the Rfam family "Bacterial small subunit ribosomal RNA", at positions 524 to 776 of the family's 1533-position model. The record is from RNAcentral.
UACGAAGGGGGCUAGCGUUGCUCGGAAUCACUGGGCGUAAAGCGCACGUAGGCGGGUCUUUAAGUCAGGGGUGAAAUCCUGGAGCUCAACUCCAGAACUGCCUUUGAUACUGAGGAUCUCGAGUCCGGGAGAGGUGAGUGGAACUCCGAGUGUAGAGGUGAAAUUCGUAGAUAUUCGGAAGAACAUCAGUGGCGAAGGCGGCUCACUGGCCCGGUACUGACGCUGAGGUGCGAAAGCGUGGGGAGCAAACAGG